AAGAAAGCUGUGGGCACAGCCUAUACACAGAGAUUGGAGAUCUUUUGGGAGUUAGUGGGGACGGGUAGUACCACGUGGAACGUGCCUUUAGGUUCGGAAUAACUCAGGGAAACUUGUGCUAAUACCGAAUGUGCCCCCCGAAUUCAUUUUGGGGUGGGAAAGAUUUAUCGCCUUUAGAGCGGCCCGCGUCUGAUUAGCUAGUUGGGUGAGGUAAAGGCUCACCAAGGCGACGAUCAGUAGCUGGUCUGAGAGGAUGAUCAGCCACAUUGGGACUGAGACACGGCCCAAACUCCUACGGGAGGGCAGCAGUGGGGAAUCUUGCGCAAUGGGCGAAAGCCUGACGCAGCCAUGCCGCGUGAAUGAUGAAGGUCUUAGGAUUGUAAAAUUCUUUCACCGGGGACGAUAAUGACGGUACCCGGAGAAGAAGCCCCGGCUAACUUCGUGCCAGCAGCCGCGGUAAUACGAAGGGGGCUAGCGUUGCUCGGAAUUACUGGGCGUAAAGGGAGCGUAGGCGGACAUUUAAGUCAGGGGUGAAAUCCCGGGGCUCAACCUCGGAAUUGCCUUUGAUACUGGGUGUCUUGAGUAUGAGAGAGGUGUGUGGAACUCCGAGUGUAGAGGUGAAAUUCGUAGAUAUUCGGAAGAACACCAGUGGCGAAGGCGACACACUGGCUCAUUACUGACGCUGAGGCUCGAAAGCGUGGGGAGCAAACAGG
RNAcentral lists this ribosomal RNA (713 nucleotides) under uncultured Caulobacteraceae bacterium. Its description in RNAcentral is "bacterial SSU rRNA". It matches the Rfam family "Bacterial small subunit ribosomal RNA", at positions 52 to 776 of the family's 1533-position model. The record is from RNAcentral. Lineage: Bacteria; Pseudomonadati; Pseudomonadota; Alphaproteobacteria; Caulobacterales; Caulobacteraceae.